RNAcentral lists this ribosomal RNA (465 nucleotides) under uncultured bacterium. RNAcentral describes it as "bacterial SSU rRNA". It matches the Rfam family "Bacterial small subunit ribosomal RNA", at positions 339 to 796 of the family's 1533-position model. The record is from RNAcentral.
AUACGGGAGGCAGCAGUGGGGAAUUUUGGACAAUGGGCGCAAGCCUGAUCCAGCCAUGCCGCGUGAGUGAAGAAGGCCUUCGGGUUGUAAAGCUCUUUCAGACGGAAAGAAAUCGGUGUGUCUAAUACACGCACUGGAUGACGGUACCGUAAGAAGAAGCACCGGCUAACUACGUGCCAUCAGCCGCGGUAAUACGUAGGGUGCGAGCGUUAAUCGGAAUUACUGGGCGUAAAGCGUGCGCAGGCGGUUAUGUAAGACAGAUGUGAAAUCCCCGGGCUCAACCUGGGUACUGCGUUUGUGACUGCAUAACUAGAGUACGGCAGAGGGAGGUGGAAUUCCACGUGUAGCAGUGAAAUGCGUAGAGAUGUGGAGGAACACCGAUGGCGAAGGCAGCCUCCUGGGCCAGUACUGACGCUCAUGCACGAAAGCGUGGGGAGCAAACAGGAUUAGAUACCCGCGUAGUCC